CGAGUACGACCCGUUACGACGGGGAAGUGUCUGAUGUCAGGCUUCCAAGAAAAGCCCGAACCACGUUAAUUCAAAUUGGCCCGUACCCUGAACCGACACAGGUGGGAAGGUAGAGUAUACCGAGGGGCGCGAGAUAACUCUCUCUAAGGAACUCGGCAAGAUGGCCCCGUAACUUCGGGAGAAGGGGUGCCACCGAGAGGUGGUCGCAGUGAAGAGUCCCAGGCGACUGUUUACCAAAAACACAGGUCUCCGCUAAGUCGCAAGACGAUGUAUGGGGGCUGACGCCUGCCCAGUGCCGGAAGGUUAAGGAAGUUGGUCAGGCUCUUCGGAGUUGAAGCUAGCGACUGAAGCCCCGGUGAACGGCGGCCGUAACUAUAACGGUCCUAAGGUAGCGAAAUUCCUUGUCGGGUAAGUUCCGACCCGCACGAAAGGCGUAACGAUCUGGGAGCUGUCUCGGAGAGAGGCUCGGCGAAAUAGGAAUGUCUGUGAAGAUACGGACUACCUGCACCCGGACAGAAAGACCCUAUGAAGCUUUACUGUAGCUUGGUAUUGGGUUCGGGCUUUAAUUGCGCAGGAUAGGUGGGAGACUAUGAGAUAGCUCUUGUGGGAGUUAUGGAGUCACUGGUGAGAUACCACUCUAUUAAGGCUAGAAUUCUAACUUUGACCCGUUAUCCGGGCAGGGGACAGUAUCAGGUGGGCAGUUUGACUGGGGCGGUCGCCUCCUAAAUGGUAACGGAGGCGCGCAAAGGUUCUCUCAGGCUGGUUGGAAAUCAGCCAUCGAGUGUAAAGGCAAAAGAGAGCUUGACUGCGAGAGUGACAACUCGAGCAGGUACGAAAGUAGGCCUUAGUGAUCCGACGGUUCCGCGUGGAAGGGCCGUCGCUCAACGGAUAAAGGUUACUCUAAGGAUAACAGGCUGAUCUCCCCCAAGAGUUCACAUCGACGGGGAGGUUUGGCACCUCGAUGUCGGCUCAUCGCAACCUGGGGCUGUAGUCGGUCCCAAGGGUUGGGCUACUCGCCCAUUAAAGCGGUACGUGAGCUGGGUUCAGAACGUCGUGAGACAGUUCGGUCCAUAUCCGGUGCAGGCGUAGGAACAUUGAGAGGAGUCUUCCUUAGUACGAGAGGACCGGGAAGAACGCACCGCUGGUGUACCUGUUAUCGUGCCAACGGUAAACGCAGGGUAGCUAAGUGCGGAGAGGAUAACCGCUGAAAGCAUCUAAGUGGGAAGCCCACCUCAAGAUGAGUGUUCCCAUGGCAUAAGCCAGUAAGGUCACGGGUAGACCACCCGUUAAUAGGCGCUAGAUGGAAGUCCAGCAAUGGAUGUAGUCGAGGCGUACUAACAGACCGAGGGCUUGU
RNAcentral lists this ribosomal RNA (1354 nucleotides) under metagenome. RNAcentral's name for it is "bacterial LSU rRNA". It matches the Rfam family "Bacterial large subunit ribosomal RNA", at positions 1564 to 2925 of the family's 2925-position model. The record is from RNAcentral.